CUCUGAGGAUGAUACCUGGAGAUUCAGAUGCUGUCUGUUGACUGGCAAGUUUCCCAAGGGAACUUUUCCUUUUCAUGUUUCCUGUCUCUCUGCCUUCUUGGAUGUUCUGGGUUCUGAAGGACAUUGUUUUCCUUGUCUCCUGUUACUAAGAGGUGUGGAAAAUGUUGCUUAUGAGUACUCUGUUGGUCCAUUGUCAAGAAUGAAUGGUGAAAGGACAAGUGAGAACCUAAGUAUUCAGUGAAACCGAGCGUUGAAGGCUGAGAGGCAAGGGACUGGAGGUUGGUAGCAAGCUGAUUUCUGAAAGCUUCAACCAGGAAUGUGUAAGAGGGGCUAAAAAUAAACCAGUUGUGAAGCAUCAGAUUCCUUCUGCAUCAUCUCUUUAUGACUCAACUGUCCUCUUUGCAGAAGUUGGGAAUUCACAAGCAUCACAACAGACCUUUAGAGUAGGCAAGAGCCAGUCCCCUGGGGUUCAGCAUUUGUUCAUUCAUUUAAUAAAUAUUUU
This is a long non-coding RNA of Mastomys coucha (southern multimammate mouse), 502 nucleotides long. RefSeq lists it as uncharacterized. The record is from RefSeq and is a predicted model, not a curated record. Lineage: Eukaryota; Metazoa; Chordata; Mammalia; Rodentia; Muridae. The transcript has 2 exons.